Non-coding RNA from Solanum lycopersicum (tomato), 1112 nucleotides. The record is from RefSeq and is a predicted model, not a curated record. Lineage: Eukaryota; Viridiplantae; Streptophyta; Magnoliopsida; Solanales; Solanaceae.
UCGUUGAAUGAACUUUCCUUCCGGCCAACGAAUAUCAUUAGUUUUACCACUUUUGUUAACUAGAUCAGGACUCAGAUGUGGAAGAAUCUAAAAUGAUGAUAUCAGGUAAGUCUCUACACUUUGACUUGUAUUUCAAUUUUAGACUCAAUUCAUCGAGGAUCUUGAUCUAAUAUCCCACAACUCCACUUGAAGAUAUUGGACGAAGGAAAAUUUCGUUGGAUGGAGUUUCACUCCUACCGACGGCUAUAACUAGUGCUACCACUUAUAUGAGCUAGAUCUAUAUCUCUACCCGAAUUCCACUUCUAUAAUCUAGAUAUGGAUCUCAACUUGGGAGAAAUCUUAAAUGUCAAUAUCAGAUUAAACAAGGAUAAUUUCGUUGAAUAAAGUUCCCUUCUGGCCAACGACUGGCACUGGUGUUACCACUCUGUGAACUAGGUCAGGACUUAAAUCUGGAAGAAUCUGAAAUGACGAUAUCAGGUAAGUCUCUUCAAGUUUGAGUUAUUUUUCAAUUUUAGAAUCAAUUCAUCAAGGAUUUAGAUCUAAUAUCCCGCAAUUUAACUUGAGAUAUUAAACCAAGGAUAACUUCGUUUGAUGAAGUUUCCUCUCUGCCGACGGCUAUAAAUGGUGUUACUACUUAUGUGAGCUAGAUGUAUAUGUCUACCCAAAUGAAUCUGAAAUGAUGAUAUCAGGUUAAACCAAGGAUAAUUUCAUUGGAAGAAGCUUCUUUCCGCCAACGCUUCACACUAUUGUUACCACUUCUGUGAGCUAGAUCUAGAUCUCAACUCGGGAUGAAUCUGAAAUGAGGAUAUCAUGUAAAUCUCCACCAUUUUGAGUUAUUCAAACAUAAUUCGUCAACGAUUUAGAUAUGAUAUCUUCUAAGUUAACUUGAAGAGAUCAAACCAAGGAUAACUUUCUCUGAUGAAGUUUCCACCCCGCCAAUGGCUAAAAUUGGUGUUACCACUUAUGUGAUCUAGAUUUGGGUCCCAAUCUGGGACAAAUAUGAAAUUAUGAUAUUAGGUAAGUCUUAACCACUUUGAGUUAUUUUCCAAUUUCAAACUCUAUUUGUCAAGGAUUUAGAUAUGAUAUCUCAUAAUUUAACUUGAAUAGAUUAA